UACCAGCACCCCGAGUGGUCGGGACGUUUAUUGGGCCUAAAGCAUCCGUAGCCGGUUCUACAAGUCUUCCGUUAAAUCCACCUGCUUAACAGAUGGGCUGCGGAAGAUACUAUGGAGCUAGGAGGCGGGAGAGGCAAGCGGUACUCGAUGGGUAGGGGUAAAAUCCGUUGAUCCAUUGAAGACCACCAGUGGCGAAGGCGGCUUGCCAGAAUGCGCUCGACGGUGAGGGAUGAAAGCUGGGGGAGCAAACCGG
Molecule: ribosomal RNA, 253 nt
Filed under: uncultured bacterium
Lineage: Bacteria
Description: partial 16S ribosomal RNA
Rfam family: Archaeal small subunit ribosomal RNA
Source: RNAcentral